GGCACGCCCGAAGUCCUUACUCUAACCGUUCGCGGAGGGGGGCGCCGAAGGCGGGGCUGAUGACUGGGGUGAAGUCGUAACAAGGUAGCCGUACCGGAAGGUGUGGCUGGAUCACCUCCUUUCAGGGAGACCUACCCACUCAUUACACCGAAACGGAUAUUGGAUUAGGUGAAUGAGAGGUCACUCUAGGUCGGUCAGGGUAUUUGCGAGCGAAGCUUCUAAACGGUUGUCUGGGGGAAGAGAGAGGGCUUGUGGGCUAUUAGCUCAGGUGGUUAGA
Molecule: unclassified non-coding RNA, 277 nt
Filed under: uncultured cyanobacterium
Lineage: Bacteria; Bacillati; Cyanobacteriota
Description: partial contains 16S ribosomal RNA and 16S-23S ribosomal RNA intergenic spacer
Rfam family: Bacterial small subunit ribosomal RNA (bases 1-122)
Source: RNAcentral